RNA transcript from Callithrix jacchus (white-tufted-ear marmoset), 5059 nucleotides. It is a transcript of the gene named STIM activating enhancer, with no coding region annotated. The record is from RefSeq and is a predicted model, not a curated record. Lineage: Eukaryota; Metazoa; Chordata; Mammalia; Primates; Cebidae.
CAGACGUCGGGUUACGCGCGGCGCGGAGUCGGCCGCCGGGCGGAGGUACCGGCUCCGGCUGUGGCUCGGGCUCGAGCUCUCGGCUGCAGGUUUGGCGGCGCGGCCUCGGCAGGCAGCGAGGCCGGGCGGGCUCUGGGCCCCCGCGCCCCUCCCGCCAGGCCUGCCAUGCAGGGCCCCGCCGGGAACGCGAGCCGCGGACUGCCGGGCGGGCCGCCCUCCACAGUCGCGUCCGGGGCGGGCCGCUGCGAGAGCGGCGCGCUGAUGCACAGCUUCGGCAUCUUCCUGCAGGGGCUGCUUGGCGUCGUGGCCUUCAGCACGUUAAUGCUCAAACGCUUCAGAGAACCAAAGCAUGAAAGACGUCCGUGGAGGAUAUGGUUUUUAGAUACUUCCAAACAAGCCAUAGGAAUGCUGUUCAUCCACUUUGCAAAUGUAUACCUAGCAGAUCUCACUGAAGAGGACCCUUGUUCACUGUACCUCAUCAACUUCCUCCUGGACGCCACCGUGGGCAUGCUGCUCAUCUACGUGGGGGUGCGUGCCGUCAGUGUCCUCGUGGAGUGGCAGCAGUGGGAAUCCUUGCGCUUCGGCGAAUAUGGAGACCCUCUGCAGUGUGGAGCCUGGGUCGGGCAGUGCGCUCUUUACAUCGUGAUCAUGGUUUUUGAAAAAUCUGUCGUCUUCAUCGUCCUCCUAAUACUACAGUGGAAAAAGGUGGCCCUGUUGAAUCCCAUUGAAAACCCAGACUUGAAGCUGGCCAUCGUCAUGCUGAUUGUCCCCUUCUUUGUCAACGCCUUGAUGUUUUGGGUAGUCGACAAUUUCCUCAUGAGAAAGGGGAAGACGAAAGCUAAGCUAGAAGAAAGGGGAGCCAACCAGGACUCGAGGAAUGGGAGCAAGGUCCGCUACCGGAGGGCCGCAUCCCAUGAGGAGUCUGAGUCUGAGGUUUGGACAUCAGGGAAGAACAGUGGUCCUUAGCGGCACCGAGGCCAGGAUAUGUGUUCUGGCGGCCCUGCGGUGCUCACCCCACAUCUGCAUGCAGGGCCAGCUCAUGGAAGGCCUGGGAAGCUCCUGAGGCAGAGAGCACUGUGCAGGUGGAAGCUGCAGAAAAGCUGAGAUGAACAUUUUCCCCGAGAGGCCUAAAGAUGUGCUGGUGAGGUGCAGAUCCUGAUCUCAGCGGAUGACGAGAUGGAGGAGUCCGACGUGGAGGAGGACCUCCGCAGACUGACCCCCCUCAAGCCUGUGAAGAAAAAGAAGCACCGUUUCGGGCUGCCUGUAUGACACAUUCCCAUGCUGAGGGUGACGGGAGGGCCCUGCCAGCUGCCAGUGUGCAGAGGUCAUCCUGCAGCGUCGUUCCUUCCCCCCUCUGCCCUUCCUUUCUACCUCUGCUCCUCUUGCUGUCUCUGCCCGCUCUCGCCUGCCCCAGACUACUACUGUGACUUAAAAAGAGGGAAGAGGAGCCAGUGCCCGAGGGGGCCACGGGUGGCUGGAGGUCCCCAUUCAGUUGCACUACAAACACUGACCAAAUAUGCAAGGAAGGAGUUGUGUUUGUUGUCCCAGACAGUGUUGGGAGCUACCCGAGGCCCUGCCCUGUGUCCAACCAGGUGGCAAGCUAGAAGGAAGCACAGGCACACAGGCCGUGGAUGGGUCCCCUCACCGCGGCUGGGGCAGUGCAACUCGGAACGCCUUCAGGCUAAAAGUGACUCAUUGACCAAGUUGGAACUGGAAUGCUUUCUUACUUGGAAUGGCUUUUGUAACUAUUGAUUUCUGAAGCUGGUUUUACGAGCUGUGACAGUGUUACUGGGUUGGGGGUAUGUUUAUUUCCUACAAAGUACUUAUGGGACUAAUGGGCAAAACAGAGAUUUUUAAGUCUUCCAUAUGCUGUUUGACUUUUAUAUUUUUAAGUUAUAUUUUCAUACUAUUGUAUUUAAAAACUUCUUAAUUCCCAAAGAAAUGGGUUUGUUUGCCUUUCACGGGGUGUGGGCUGGCAGGAGGGAAAGGUUGGGAGUUUUUUAUUUGAAAUAUAGUUUGGUGAUGCCCUGCGAUAAGAUGAGACAGAUGAUUGGGGAGGGAAGGAGGAUGGCCCUUCUCGGGAAUCACAAACCCAGUGCUUCUGUGAAGGUCAGACCCAAGCUUGGCGCUGCUGGUCUCGAUGCAGAUCCAGGAGCUGCAGAGUGUGUGAAACAGGAAGGGCGCUGCCCAGGGCCAAUGAGCUCUAGUGUUCUGCUGGCAGAUUAGAAGGUCUUGGUUAAACUUGACCAAGAAAGGAGCUUAGCUAAGAGAUCUUUGUGUCCAGAGGACUCAAGACUAGCAGACUCCUGUGCAGAAGAGGAGUCUCUGCAGAGCCUCCCAUCAUGGUUUAAAAUGGUCUUGGCCUCUCAGCCCCUGUUGCUGCAGCCUUCAGAGCCAGCCUCUGGACGCAGCGCCAGGAACCUCCUCUUAUGCUACCCUGGUACCUGUCAUUCCAAGUGUCAUCUGUUUUGUAUAGUGUUCUGGAGAACAUCUGCCUCACAAAGUGAUCCUAUUUUCCACACCCUCCAAAGCUGAGGUGGCUAAGGCAGGUAGGGGUGAGAGAGCUCACUCUCUAAACCACAGGCAGGGCAAGGUGCUUCUAGGCCAUGUCCCCUCCCUGUAGCAUGGCCCCUGCUCCUCAGCAUGGCCACAGGCCCCUGUGGCUUUGGGAGUUUGCUGAUUAUUGUGAAAUGGGCUGACCCCAGCAAUUUCCCUGCUGUGCAAGCAGCAAGGUAGGGGUGCUCCUCAUAGUUUGUCAAGCUCAGAGGCAGCCAUGGAUGGUUAGGAACAGGAAGCCACAGUGCUAAGGUGUGAGCUAGAAGGGAGACAGCCUGGAAUUUAAGUGAGACAAGUGCAGAGGAGGCUACUUUACUUAGAACCUUCCCUUUAGACCUGCAUGAAUAUGUGUUCCACUUAAGCACAUUGGAUUUGAAUUGUGGAGAGUGAGCCCAGCUGUUAAACCAGGUACCCGGGGACUACCCUCUGCCUCUCAGAGUCCUGCCUGUCCUGGACUUGGAGGCUAGCAUUAGGAAGGCCUUCUCAGCCCAUCUUCCACCAGGAGUGCAGAGCCAGGGUGCUGAGACUGCAGGGGACUGUAACUGCAGUAGGAGGCAACUUUGCCAGUGUGGGCCUCUUGGCCAGUAGGCCUGGCAGUGCCUGAAAUUGGAGUCCGCCUGGGGUCUUGUGUCGUUUCUGUUCAAAAUGACUCUGUGCUCCCUCCCAUCCCACAGCUAUGGUAGCCGGUAUUUCCCUACCCGCUCUCUAGUGGGAAAGAGUGGCUGGAACCAGGCCAUUCUGAGUCGAAUUUGGGGAGACCAGGACUCAUGUUCCUGGCAGGACAGUCAUUCCCUCAAGGCAUCACUGACUCAGUUCUAAUCCCUCCCCUCCUGUUUCAUUUUGGUUUGAACAACCUGUGCCUGCAGCUGUUUCUUCUGCCUUCCUGGAGCUCAGAAUCAGAGCUUCAUUUUCAGUCUUGAGCUCCUAAUGUUUUCAAACAGGGCAGGGAAUAGGAGAGCCAUAAUCUGUGAAAGCUGUAAAACAAACUCUGGGUUAUGUAGACCUGAGAUCAUCUCAUCUGAAGGCUCGGCCCACUUCCCAGUGAGCAGUGGGUUUGGGGAAUAAAGAGGUAGCUGGUGAGUGAUGGUUUUCCCCUGUAUCCUGAUUUUCAGAAAGGGCUUUAGUCUCUGAGCUGCAGCCAGUGUAGAUGGCUGACCAGGGGACAGGGGUCUAAUAGGGUGUCUGACCAAAGGGCACCUCUUGGUAUGUGGCCUGGACAGUGUGGCAUCUCAUGUUUGGUCUUCCCCUCCUCGUGUGUGUGUGUGUGUGUGUGUGUGUGUACACACAUGUACAUACAUAUAAGUCUGUAUUCCCAGGAGUGCCUCCUGCCAUCAUUGGGGGCUCUUCCGUGGUGCACCAUCCCAUGAGAGCAGAUCAGAGGGCCGUGGUCAGGACUUCCUCCCGAGCUGCCCUCCCUCCCUGGGAUGAGCUUCCUCACCACCUGCUCCAAGGUGCCUUACGAGGUGCAGCUCUUCACCUGGCCACAUGGCAUCCAUCACCGUGCUUGAGAAAUGAUGAGACGUUGGCUGGAUGUUGUGUACUAUCAAUCCAAUGUGUCCAAAUCUGGACCUCAGCCAAGCCAGCUGUGAUGGAACCAUGCAAGCCAAGGUCAUGAACAAAGAGGAAAUAAACUAAUGAGGUAGAACUGCCAUAUCUGAAGGGAAGAGGUGGUUGGUACUGUGAUUUCCUUUUGCUGUCAGAGGGAUGUUGACAAUGGCAAGAGAGGGGAUAUUGGUGAGCCCAGGUGAUGGUGGCUUCUUGGUCCACUUGGCUUUAACACAUGCAAAAGGAGGCUCUGUGGCCUCUCAAGCUUUAACUUGUGCCCUCCCUGGCAACAGGGAGUCAUGGGUUAAUGUUACCUGUCAUGCCUGUUUCUUCAGGGAAAAUAUUAAAAGGUUCAAAUCCAAGCUGUGGCUUCCUCUAGGCAGUGUAAGCCUGGAGGUUGUAGCCCCAAGUUGAUGUUCAAAGGCUGCCUCAGAGCCCUGGAGGGAGCAGCACCCAGCCGGCAGCCCACUCUGCCCUCCAGACUUCAGUUCACUGGCCUUUUCACAGCCAGGCUAAGAUAGGCAGUGCUCGGAACUUCCCGCCAGCCAGAGCAGCUGCCUUGUAGAGUGUGAGGCUGGCUUUUAGAAGUUUCACACGCUUGUAGCUAAGAGUACAGAGCUGUCUGUUUCACUUUGUAAAACUGGCAGCUCUGAGGGGCUUGGCUUUGGUAACGGACUUAUGGUCUAAUUUGCCACAAGCACCUUGAGCUCCCAGGUGGAUGGUUGGUUGGUUGGGUUGUUUUAAAUUUGAUUUUUCUUUUCCUGAAGUUUGUUAGAAGUCAGGCUUAUGCGAGCAAAACCAUGGCCCACUUUAGCUGCCAUCCAGUGGGGGUAUUUAAUCAGUUGUGUUAGGAUUCGUAGAAACAUGUUUUUGAAAUGAAAGGGAAGAUGAAGUACUUACAUUGUAAAAUGGUUUACAAUAAAGUUUGGCAUCUUAUUACAGUUUUUUAAAAAAGAAA